UCCGGUUUGGCACCGGCAGUCCCUCUAGAGUCCUCGACAUUAGCGAUAAACUGUUAGUGUCUAAGCAAAAGCGUUAAGUGAUCCACCUGGGGAGUACGCUCGCAAGAGUGAAACUCAGAGUAAUUGACGGGGGCCCGCACAAGCGGUGGAGCAUGUGGUUCAAUUCGACGCAACGCGAAGAACCUUACCUGGGCUAGACAACGGUGGACCGUCCUAGAAAUAGGAUUUUCCCUUCGGGGACUGCCGGUUCAGGUGCUGCAUGGCUGUCGUCAGCUCGUGCCGUGAGGUGUUGGGUUAAGUCCCGCAACGAGCGCAACCCUUGUCCUUAGUUGCCACCAUUCAGUUGGGCACUCUAGGGAGACUGCCGGCGUUAAGCCGGAGGAAGGUGGGGAUGACGUUU
This 400-nucleotide unclassified non-coding RNA is filed under the name uncultured bacterium. Its description in RNAcentral is "contains 16S-23S intergenic spacer region". It matches the Rfam family "Bacterial small subunit ribosomal RNA", at positions 784 to 1187 of the family's 1533-position model. The record is from RNAcentral.